UGGGGAAUAUUGGACAAUGGGCGAAAGCCUGAUCCAGCCAUGCCGCGUGUGUGAAGAAGGUCUUCGGAUUGUAAAGCACUUUAAGUUGGGAGGAAGGGCAGUAAGUUAUACCUUGCUGUUUUGACGUUACCGACAGAAUAAGCACCGGCUAACUCUGUGCC
Molecule: ribosomal RNA, 161 nt
Filed under: uncultured bacterium
Lineage: Bacteria
Description: partial 16S rRNA
Rfam family: Bacterial small subunit ribosomal RNA
Source: RNAcentral